UAUGACCUGGGCUACAAACGUGCUACAAUGGACAGAACAAAGGGCUGCGAGACCGCAAGGUUUAGCCAAUCCCACAAAUCUGUUCUCAGUUCGGAUCGCAGUCUGCAACUCGACUGCGUGAAGCUGGAAUCGCUAGUAAUCGCGGAUCAGCAUGCCGCGGUGAAUACGUUCCCGGGCCUUGUACACACCGCCCGUCACACCACGAGAGUUUGCAACACCCGAAGUCGGUGAGGUAACCUUUAUGGAGCCAGCCGCCGAAGGUGGGGCAGAUGAUUGGGGUGAAGUCGUAACAAGGUAGCCGUAUCGGAAGGUGCGGCUGGAUCACCUCCUU
RNAcentral lists this ribosomal RNA (331 nucleotides) under uncultured Bacillus sp. Its description in RNAcentral is "bacterial SSU rRNA". It matches the Rfam family "Bacterial small subunit ribosomal RNA", at positions 1203 to 1532 of the family's 1533-position model. The record is from RNAcentral. Lineage: Bacteria; Bacillati; Bacillota; Bacilli; Caryophanales; Bacillaceae.